This 244-nucleotide long non-coding RNA is filed under the name Olea europaea (common olive). Its description in RNAcentral is "long non-coding RNA (OEUR_LNC001132)". The record is from RNAcentral. Lineage: Eukaryota; Viridiplantae; Streptophyta; Magnoliopsida; Lamiales; Oleaceae.
AUAAGGGAAAGUCUAAAAACAAGGCCAAAGGAAAGAAAUGUUUUUAUUGUGGAAAACAGAGUCAUUUUAUUAAAGACUGUUAUAAAAAGAAAAAUGAGACAAAAGAAAAGAAAUAUGAAGUUGGGGAUGCAGCCUUAGUGUAUAACAAAGAUAAAAAUGAAGAUGGCCUAGUCCUUGUUAAUGGGGACAAGAGACUAAGUGAUGAAUAUAUCAUUGAUUCAGGUUGUUCCUUUCAUAUGUGCCC